RNAcentral lists this ribosomal RNA (253 nucleotides) under uncultured bacterium. Its description in RNAcentral is "partial 16S ribosomal RNA". It matches the Rfam family "Bacterial small subunit ribosomal RNA", at positions 524 to 776 of the family's 1533-position model. The record is from RNAcentral.
UACAUAGGGGGCAAGCGUUAUCCGGAAUUACUGGGUGUAAAGGGUGCGUAGGCGGUCAGGAAAGUCAGAUGUGAAAACCCGGGGCUUAACCCCGGGAAUGCAUUUGAAACUUUUUGACUAGAGUACAGGAGAGGUAAGUGGAAUUUCUAGUGUAGCGGUAAAAUGCGUAGAUAUUAGGAAGAACACCAGUGGCGAAGGCGACUUACUGGACUGAAACUGACGCUGAGGCACGAAAGCGUGGGGAGCAAACAGG